This 253-nucleotide ribosomal RNA is filed under the name uncultured bacterium. RNAcentral's name for it is "partial 16S ribosomal RNA". It matches the Rfam family "Bacterial small subunit ribosomal RNA", at positions 524 to 776 of the family's 1533-position model. The record is from RNAcentral.
UACGGAGGGGGCUAGCGUUAUUCGGAAUUACUGGGCGUAAAGCGCACGUAGGCGGAUUGGAAAGUCAGAGGUGAAAUCCCAGGGCUCAACCUUGGAACUGCCUUUGAAACUCCCAGUCUUGAGGUCGUGAGAGGUGAGUGGAAUUCCGAGUGUAGAGGUGAAAUUCGUAGAUAUUCGGAGGAACACCAGUGGCGAAGGCGGCUCACUGGCACGAUACUGACGCUGAGGUGCGAAAGCGUGGGGAGCAAACAGG